Molecule: long non-coding RNA, 24655 nt
Filed under: Cucumis sativus (cucumber)
Lineage: Eukaryota; Viridiplantae; Streptophyta; Magnoliopsida; Cucurbitales; Cucurbitaceae
Description: long non-coding RNA (CSAT_LNC000826)
Rfam family: tRNA (bases 12780-12851)
Source: RNAcentral
AACUUUAUCUUUUGGUUUCCUUUUGCUGGUGAGUUUGGGCUUAGCUUCGGCGGCCCGAUCUCUUCUUUCUUACGAUAUUCCUCCUCAUCGAUCUGGAUACGAUAAUUAUGAUCAUCCUGUAGUUAACCCUAAAGUAGGAUACGAACAUGACCGUCGUGAUGGAUACUACCAUGACCGUGACCAUCAUGAUGCACCUUAUGGUGGUGGUGCUGGUGGAGGAUAUGGAGCUGGAGCUGGAGCUGGCUCAUCUCUUGGAGGCUCUGGAUAUGGAAGUGGAGGAGGUGGUGGUUCUGGAUAUGGAGGUGUAGGAAACCACGAGGUUGGUUAUGGUAGUGGUGGAGGGGGUGGAUAUGGAGCUGGAGUUGGCUCUGACCUUGGUGGUAGCGGAUACGGAAGCGGUGGUGGUGGAGGCAGUGGAGGAGGAUACGGUGAUUUAGGAGGACGUGGAAAAGGGUACGGUAGCGGUGGAGGUGGAGGAAGUGGAUAUGGAGGUAGAGGAGACCAUGGAGUUGGUUAUGGAAGUGGUGGAGGUGGAGGAUAUGGAAGUGGAGUAGGUGGUGGUGCAGGAGUGGUAGACCAUGGUGUAGGUUAUGGGAGUGGAGGAGGAGGUGGGGCUGGUAGUGGUUAUGGUGGUUCCAAAGGAUAUGGAGGUGGAAGCGGCGGCGGUGGGGGAGCCGGUUAUGGUGGUGGAGCACAUGGAAGUGGAUAUGGAAGUGGUGGUGGAGCUGGAAGUGGUGAAGAAGGAGGAUAUGAUGGUGGAUAUGCACCGUAAACAAAGAAAAGAAAAGAAAAAGCUCAAAGUUUUAUGGCUAAAAUGAGAAUGCUUACCCUAAUAUCAUCAAUGUGUGUGUGUGUUAGCAAAAAAAAAAAAUAAAAGAAUUUGGGUAAGAAAUGUUAUAUUAAUUAUCUUUGAGCUUUUAAGUAAUUUGAAUGUAAUAUAAUAUAUAUAUAAAAAAAGCUAAUCCAUGUGUUCCAAAGUGAACCAACAUGAAGUAUAUUUUCUCCCUUUGUCAUCAUGAUCAUCUUAAACUUGUGGUUAUUAUGUGGGCUCUCAUUAUUAUUCCAAGAUAGCAACGUCGGGAUAUUCAAAUAUUUUUCAUAUGUAAUGUCUUAAGACUAAAUCACUAUGAUCUAUAUGCUUUAAUUAAGUUCAAAACUAUUUUGGAAGCAUUAUGAUUAAUAUAUUGAUUACUUAAAUACUAUUAUAUGGUUUUCAAGGUAACUUGAUGUUGUUAAUAAAAGAAAUCUUUAAUAUUUAAUCAGUCCUUUCUCUUAAAAUUUAGUAAAAAUAAAUACUAAAAUGGUAUGAUGUUUUAUGGUUGGAUUUGGGGUAUGUGUUUUGGCUUGUCCCUCUAGUUGUGACUUGUUCAAAAUAAGUGUACAAUCAAAUUCACUUGGGUUAUUAAAGACAAUUGAUAAACAAAAAUUGCCAAAACGAUAGAGCAUAACUAUUUAAUCGGUAUAAAACUUGUACAAUCCAUUAAUCAUAAUAUACUUUUUCUAAUUGAUCUCUAAUUGAUCGUACAUACUAGUUAGUGUCGAUAAAAAACUCAAUUUGACGUAUAAAUAUUUGUUUGUUGUAAAUGAACAUCUAAGUAUAUUCUUGAUUAAUUAUUCUUAUACUAAGAGUAACAUUGACCCCUCUAUUCUUUAGUAUUUGGUUAAAAGAAUAAAAAAUUAGUAAGUGAUGAAUCUUAGUGUGCUAUAGGUUGAUCAACCAAUUAAAAUUAGUCGUUUCAAGCAAUACUUUCGAAAAAAUUCAUUAAAUAGGAGUUAUUUAAACUAUCAACCCUGAGUUUUUAUACAUUACAAUAAAUUUAAUCUUUGAUGUCGGUCAAAAACUAAUAUAUAGGAGUACAAUAUAGAUCACCAGAUCGAUAUGGAAGACAAUGUUAUGGAAGAUGUUCAAUGUUAAUCACUUUUAUGUUCGUUUUGGUCUUGGCAUUAUAAAUAAUUUAAAUGGUAGUUUUUGCUCACACUACAAAUGUGUUAGACUAUUAGUCAUCAAAUAGUUUGAAUUCCUUGUAAAAAAAAUUAGUUGAAACAAAAAUAAAUAAUUAUCUUUGCAUUAAAAUAAAAUAAAAUAAAUAAAAUAGAUUUUUUUGUGAAUAUUUUGGUCAGGUGUUCUAUUUUUUAUAAUUUCCCAUAAAAAAUAUGUGUAAUAAGUUAUUUAAAAUACUAAUAGUAUUAAUUAGUUUACUUAAUAAAUCAAUUAUAUCUCUAAAUGAUAUUUUGGUAGAUUUAAAAAUAUUUUGAUUCAUUUUGCUAUAUUUGAAAAAGAAACCAUAAAAUUCUACUUCAUAUUCGCAAUAGAUCAUGGUAAACUUAGAUAGGCAUCUAUUAUUUAUAUAUAUGGUGAUAGAUACUUAUGUAUCUAUAUCCAAGCCCAUCAUCUAAAUAUUUUCAAAUGGUUUUCAAUUGAAAACAAAUUUCUCAAUAAGUAAUUAAAAAUUAGGUUUUUAUUCACUAAUAAUUAUUAUUUAAAUGUGAACAAAUAAAGUUUAGCUCGUAUAUAAUGGGUCAGUAGGUACACUCGGAUAUCUCCACUAGAUGGACACCCCUUAGCACCCUCAUUAUCUCCGUUUCAUUAAUAUAAAAAAUCGAAUUGAAUACACGAGAAGUAAAGAGAACAACCCAAACAAAAAACAAAGAACUAGAGACAAGCCCAAAACAAGUACAAACAAUUAGAAAGCAUGAAGAAAUUAGUGCUUUAAACCCCUAAACCGCAAUGUUACUUAACAAAUAAAAUUGUUAUUUAAAAGUUUGAAGUUAUUAUUGAGUUUUAUUUUAGCAAAUUAAUCAUCUCUUAAAUUAAAAAUCUCAAACAUACAUGGAAGAUAAGAUCAAUUAAGCACAUGUUGGAUGAAUUUUGUUCGAAUAAAAAUUAAAACAACUUAUUGUUAUCAACUUAUAAGUUAUAUAUAUGAUGAUGGUGGUGCAGAGGUGAAAACUUAGUUUGAGAUCUCUCCCUACAUCUACUAUGCUUUUACGUUCUAAUGUAUUUUGUGGUAAAAAAAUCAAUUAUAAACUUUUAAGAAAAAUUUUCAUAUGUUAUUAUUUUUUCUCUAAAUUCUAAACUAGCCAGGUUAUCAACAAAACAAAUACCACUAGAGUUUAAGGGAUUAGGAAGCAUAUAUGAAUAUCUCAACUUGGUUAACACGUCGUUUUUAAACAUUUCUCAUCAGGUUGCUGUUUCAAAAGUGAUGCACUGAUGUGAAGAAACAUAUAGGAGAAAAGUGAGAUGGAAAGUUAGUAUAUUGGACAGAGUACAUAGUACAUAGUAGGUUUAUUAAUUAAUUUAUCCAAAUGAUAAUCUCAUUACCAAGCACUAUGUGAUUUAGAUAUGAAUAAAAUGUGAUCAUUUUUCCACCACUAUUACAUAGCAAAUGGGAAAACAUCUCAUUGUGGUUUGAUAUUUUAAAAAACAAUUAUGGUAAUGCAAGUCGUCUCAUAUCCCAUAAUAUUAUCUCAGUCUCAUGGCGACUGAUACAAAAGGACAAAACUAACUUCAUUAAAAUAUGUUCUCUCCUUCCUACACUUUUUAGGUAUAUAUCAUUCAUAUAUUAAUCACUGCAAUUGGUUAGGUGGACUACAAAAACAUAGAUAUAGUCCGAGAUAAAAUUAAGUACGGUUAUAUUUUACGAGACUUUUGAUGUGUUUGAUUACAUUUUCAUGUGUUUCUUUUAGAAAAUAAGUUAUUUUGAAAAAACUAAAGUAUUUUAAACAAUUUUUAGAACAAUCAAUUUCUUGAAAAAUAUUUUUUUCUUAAUUCAAUCUAAGAUGGAUCCUCAAAAUAUUUGAGGGUAGUUCUUUUAUAAAAGUAUUUACACUAGGUUGGUUUAUGAAGUAAAAUAUUGAUCGGUAAAUUCAAGUUUUAAAUUAGAAAAAUUGAAUAUUUUUAAAAAUAGAAGAAUUGGCUAACUAUUUACAACUCAUACCAAAAUUUUAAUACAAAUCCAAAGUAUCUAUUUUUUAUUUUAUUAUUAUUAUUAUUUUUUGCUAUAGGAUGUAAAUACUAUCUGUUUUCUUGUAAAUUUCUCUUACAAUCCUCUACGAGAAAGUCUUAAUUUUUAUAUUUAUGAUUUAUAUUAUAAUAUAAUUAUUUGGAACCAUAUAAUAAAUAAAAGGAAAAUUGUAAAACAUAACAUUUGACAAAAUAUCUUCGUAGAAAAAUUUGUUGUGUAAUCAAUUUUGAGGUUUUGUUAUAUGGAGCGUAAAUAUUUUGUCAAAUUUUCUAUUUGUGAAAAAAAAAACUUAUAGGUAAUUUGAAAGGUAAGUGAUCUUGUUUAAGAUCCAAAUUUCUUUUAUGAAAGUUUAAUUUAGAAUACAUACGAGAAAAAUAGAUUAAUCUAGAAUGAUAAAUGUAAGAUAGGUUUGGGAAGUACCAAUAAAUUUUAGGCAUGUGAUAGACUAUAACUGUGAAGAUAUAUAGUCUAUUGCUAUCUUGAAUGGCUCAUUCUUGUUUGAAAAUGACCUUAUUUAAAACACAACUUUUUUAUAAAAGAAAAUCCCUUGCAUCAUUCAAACAAUCUUACAAGAUCGUAUUAGUGGAAGAUGAGAUAGAAUUCUGACAUGUGUAUUAUUAGUAUACUUGAAUAGUUUCUUAUCUAACUUUUGAGCAAGUAGUGGAGAAGCUGAUCAUGAACCCUAAACCCACCGUAUCAUUCACUAUAUAAAGGAGAUCACUACAUGCAUUCUAAGGCAUCCCUUCUCCAAAUGGCUAUCUUUAGAACUUUCUCUUUCGGUUUUCUUUUGUUGGUGAGUUUAGGCUUAGCUUCUGCGACCAGAAGUCUUCUCACCUAUGAUCCACCACAUCACUCUGUAUAUGAUGAUCAUAACACUAAAGUAGGUUACGGACGUGACCAUCAUGAUCAACCUUAUGGUGGUGGUGUUGGUGCUAGUGGAGGAUAUGGAGCCGGAGCUGGCUCUGGAUAUGGAGGUGUAGGAUACGAACAUGACCAUCAUGAUGGAUACGAACGUGAUCAUGAUCGAUCUUAUGGUGGUAGUGCUGGUGGAGGAUAUGGAGUUGGAGCUGGCUCCUCUCUUGGAGGCUCUGGAUAUGGAAACGUAGAUCAUGGGGUUGGUUAUAGCAAUGGUGGAAGUGGUGGAUAUGGAGCUGGUGUUGGCUCUGACCUUGGUGGUAGCGGAUAUGGAAGCGGUAAUGGCGGAGCAAGUGGAAGUGGAAAUGGUGAUUUAGGAGGACGUGGAAAAGGCUACGGUCGCGGUGGUGUUGGAGGAAAUGGAUAUGGAGGUAGAGGAGACCAUGGCCGAGUAGUAGGCCAUGAUGAUGUAGUUUAUGGUGGUUCCAAAGGAUAUGGAGGUGGAAGUGGCGUCGGUGGGGGAGCUGGUUAUAGCGGUGGAGCAAGUGGAAGUGGAUAUGGAAGUGGUGGUGGAGCUGGAAGUGGAAGUGGCUAUGGCGGAAGUGGUGAAGAAGGAGGAUAUGAUGGUGGAUAUGCACCUUAAAUAAAAGGGGCUAAAACAUCAUCUAAAAGCUUAUCGUUAAAACGAUAAUACUUACCUAAAUAUCAAUGUUUGUUAGCAAAAAUAAAGAAUUUAGGUAAGAAUGUUAUGUUCCUCUUUUGAAUUUUAGUAACUUCAAUGAAUGUGAUAUUAUAAAAACUAGCUGUUUCAUGGGGUUCUAAAGACCAACAAACAUGCAUGAAAUACUGAGUUAAUACAACGUACGCCAUUCCAAACGUGCUAUUUUAUGGAUUCCAAAGUUGACUUUGAACUAAGGACUAAAUAAUCCUUUAACACCUUCUAAACACAAAUUAUUUCACAGACGUCAAGAUCAGUUAAUCAAGUUAAAACUUAAUAGGUCAAAUUCAUCAUUCCAAAAUGACUUGUAGAAAAAUUUUGAGACUUAGUUCGAGUAUGUUAAAUUCUAAUGUUACGAAGUUUUCUUAACAAAAUUGAGAAGGAGGUUGGGAUGGUGGAUAUGCACUCAAAAAUUUCAUCUCAAAAGAGAAUUGAGAAACAUACUUUUCAAGUAACAAACCCAAUAUUCAUAUUAAUUGGGCAACAAAAGUAAGGAAAUAGGGGUAAAAAGAGAACAUUGUUUUCUAAAUAAUCUAUGUCGAGGUUUGCUUCUUGGCCAUGAAAUUCGAACCAAUUAUUCAAUGAUAAGCAAAUUUGGAUUAAGUAUGCAUGUGUAAUGUGACAAAAUUAUUCAACCACAUUCACGUUAUUUUGCUUUCCUAAUCAUAUUUAUGAAAUAAGAUGGUUUCAUCUUUCAAAAUCAAUACACAAUUACAAAAGUAGUAAUACUUCUAUCUUAUAAACAAUGUUGAUCUCUUGAAUUUUCCAUGUAUGGAAUUAUCAACAUUCUCCGCAUAUUGUUCUAGGUUAUUUUUUUAACCAGUGUAAUCAACCUCAAACAAAAACAAAAGUGACAAAACCAAGAAAAUAACAAAAUUUUCACUUAAAUAAAAGAGGGAAAAAAAAUAGCACAUCCUAUAAGCCAAAAUAAGGGCGAGGGGUUUAGGGUUUAGGGUUAUUAGACCAAGACUACCAAAAUGUCUAAUGACUUUUAUAACGAAACAUCUAGUUUAGAUUGAUACAUAUGAUAUGUAGCAUCUUCACAGCAUCCAAGAUCAAGAGUCGAUAUAUUAUCAUGAAAAGAAAGUACAAAAGGGAAGUUAGGGAAAAACUUGGAGUCAACGUUAAGAGAACCAUUAAAAGUUUUAGAAGUUCAAUUAAUAUUUGUAAAAUUUUAAGAGCUAAAUUUUUAUAAUCCAACGUUUGAGGUCUAGUAAUUGCAAUUGACCAUCAUACUUCAGGGAUAAUUUUUGAAAAUUUCCUUUUCUAUUAUUAAAUUAUCAAGAAAAAAAAGUUUAAUGACGGUCAAAAUAAUCCCUGGCGUCCAUAUAAUAAUUUUCAAUAACAUUUCACGACACUAAAAAAAAUUGGAACUUUGCUCACAUUUUUCUAAGAAACGUAAAUAUUUUGUCAACUUUACUAUAUAUAUAUUAUUGUUACUCUUUUAAAAACUUAAGUAAUUUUGAUUCGACCAAUUUUUUUUGCUAUCAACUACAAUUGUUAAAAAAUAUAUAUAUACGAAAAAAAAUGGUUAAUUUUCAUUCACAAAAUAUUUAAAAAAGUAAAAUUUUAAAUUUGUCUCGUAUCUUUUGGAAUAAGGUUUGUCUUUAAUUAAGGAAAUUUAAAAGUUGCUAAAACAUAGCUAAAUUAAACAAAAGUUACUUUUUUAAAGAAAAUUUUUUAAAUAACAAAAUUAUUAAAAAUAUAAUUAAAUUAGAAUUUUUGAAUCUAUUAUUGAUAUAAUUAAGAAAAGUCUAUCAACAUAUAUCAAUUCUAAUAUUUUAUUAUAUUUUAAUUCAUUUGGUUAUAUUUAACAACUCAUUCCCACACAAACUAUAAUUCAAAUUAAAAACAUAUUUGAACAAAUAUUUUGUAUAAUUUAAGUGAUGAAUCGCACUAAUAUUGUUAAAAUGUGUUUAAAAUGUGAUACUUUUCCCACCAUAUUUUAUAGCAAAUGGCAGAUAAUUUAAUGUUUCUUUGAAGCAAGAAUUAGGCAAAGAAGCAUAUAUAUAUAUAUAUAUAUAUAUAUAUAUAUAUAUAUAAUAUAUAUAUAAUAUGUAAUUAAAUUUUAUAUUAUAGUUAUGCAAAAUCGUUUCAUAAGCCACUUCAUCUCUCUCUAUUUCAUGGCAUCAAGUAAACAAAAAGGGAAAAAGGGAAAAAGAGACCUAAUAAAAUAUGUGUUCUUUAAUUGGUGGAUUUUUAAUUAGCAUUAUUAAUUAAUCAAUCAUGUAAAUAUCCUACAAAGAAUAUUUGUUCUUAAGAUAAUUCAUUGCAUGAUGAAUCAAAAUUUUAGGUUGGGUGUUCCUGUAUACUUAAAAACAUUAUUGCAUUACCAAAUUAAAUUUAUACAAACCAAACGAUAUCAUUUUGUUCGUAUUAAGUUCGUUUAAGUUUAGAUGGUAUAUGAAAGUUGGUUUGUUAUGUUUAGGUUUAUUAAACAACAUUGUAUUUAGACGAUAGUGUAAACUUUAAGUUGUUAAACAUGUGUUUUAUCUUAGUCUAAUGUCGUCUAAUACAAAUAUAUUAUGAUACUUUUUAAUAUUUAAAAAUAUUUUUAGAAGUUUUAUAAAUUAAAAUAAUUUUUCUAAAAAUUAAGUUUCAUCAUUUUUAAGAGGAGAAAAGACACCCUAAACAUAAAUUAAAGAAAAUAGAAUGAUAUUGUAUUAAUUACAUAAAUUUAAUCAAAAAUUAAGAACUAAAAAUAAAAUUGUUAUCAAAAUGAAAAUUCAUUUUAACAUUCAAACCAUCCAAAAAAAAGAACAUCUAAUUACUCUAUUGUAACAGAAGUUUUAUCCUCUUAAGAAAAAAAUAGUUUAAUGUUAAAAGAGUAUACAAAACGUGUUAAUAAGUACACAACUCAAUUAGCAUAAAGCUUAAAUUUUAUUUAGAUCAAGACUCAAAUCUAUGAGAUCACAGGAUAUUGCAAAUUUAGGAUUUUAGGUUAUCGUUUAAAGUUCUAAAAUAUUGCAAAAUGGUGCAAGUGGGAAGAUGGGAUCCAAAUCAAGUAUGGAUAUGAUUUAGUUCCAAUUAUAAUUUAAGGUUAUAGUUUAAUGAUUUAGUUACAACACUUUAGUGUUUUGCCUCUUGAACUUCCCUUAAGCUAUAAUCCAUAAUUAAUAAUGUUUUUGAGCACGUGCCUUCUCUUUAAUUGCCACUAAGGUACCACACUAUAGAGAAGAGCUAAUGAAUCCUUGUUUUCUAUAUAAGGAGAUGGAUCAAUGCAUUCUAAGCAUAUACUCCUAUCCAUGGCUAUUUCUAGAGUGUUGUGCAUUGGCUUUCUUCUUUUUGUGGGGUUAGGGUUAGCUUCGGCUGCCCGAACUCUUCUUGAUUAUGAUCCACGUGCACGUCGUUAUGAUUACGAUCGUCCUACUCCAAGAGUAGGAUACGAUCCAAGCCAUCGUGAUCAAUCCUAUGAUAAUGUAUAUGGUGGAAGCUCUAGCAGAGGAUAUGGAGCUGGAGACUCUGCUCUUGGAGGUUCGGGACGAUAUGAAGGUGGUGGAGGACGUGAUUACGGACAUGGAGGCCGAAAUGAUGAUCGUGGUGUUGGAUAUGGAGGUCGAAAUGAUGAUCGUGGUGCUGAAUAUGGAGGUAGAAAUGAUGAUCAUGGUGCUGGAUAUGGAAGUCGAAAUGAUGAUCGUGGUGUUGGAUAUGGAAGUCGAAAUGAUGAUCGUGGUGUUGGAUAUGGAAGUCGAAAUGAUGAUCGUAGUGUUGGAUAUGGAGGCCGAAAUGAUGAUCGUGGAGUUGGAUAUGGUAAUGGUGGUGGAUAUGGAGGUGUAGGAGGACAUGGUGAUGGUUAUGGUAACAAUGGUGGUGGAAGCUAUGGAGAUCGUUAUGGCCCUUCUCUUGGAGGUUCAGGAUAUGGAAGUGGAGGAAAAGGAAGUGGCAAUGGCUAUGACGAUCAUUCUCGUGGAAAUGGUGCGCGUGACAAUAGCUAUGGAGAUUCUCAUGGACAUGAAGGACGUGACAGUGGAUAUGGAAGUGGUGGAGGAGUUAGUGGAGGCUAUGGCAAUGGAGGAGUUCAUGGAGGGGAGCAUGAUAAUAGCAAAGGAAGUGGAGAAGAAGGGGGUAGGGACGGUGGAUAUGCUUUCAAAAAUUCCAUCUCAAAGGAGAAUUGAGAACUCUUUUUCAAGUAAUGAACCCAAUAUCAUAUUAUGUUAACAAAAAAAAUAAAGAAUUGGGUAUAAGAGAAUGUUGUUUUCUAAAUUUAUGUUGAAUUUGUUACCAACGAAUGUCAAAUUCGAAUCAAUGGGUACAAUGAUAAUCAAAUUUAGGUUAUGUUUAUUGUGAUAAAUUUAUUGCACUCUUAUUUGUUUUGUUUCUCUAUAUAUAUUUUUUCUAUAUAUCCAUAUUAAUAUGGGUGGUUUUGGACCGAAGAAAAAAACAUCAUCUAAAAGUUUUUCGUUAAAAUCAUAUAAUUCUUACCUAAUAUCAAUGUUUGUUAGCAAAAAGUAAAAGAAUUUAGGUAAGAAUGUUAUGUUUCUCUUUGAAUUUUAGUAACUUUUUCAAUGAAGUUGUGAUAUUAUAAAAUCUAGUCAUUUCAUGAAGUUCUAAAGGCAAACAAGCAUGCACCAAAUACUCUAGCUAAUACAACGUACGCCAUUCCAAACGUGCUAUUUUAUGGAUUUCAAAGUUAAACUUUGAAACAAUCUUUUAAUACGUUCUAAACACAAAUUAUUUAACAUAAAUCAUGGGCUAAUCAAGUCCAAACUUAAUAGAUCAAACUCAUCAUUCCAAAUGUCUCCUACAUAACUUGUAGAAAAUUUUAAGAUUUAGUUCGAAUAUAUUAAAUUCGAUGUUCCAAGUUGUUUUAACAAAAUUGAAAAACUUCACCAUUAUUUUGAGAUUUUUUUUUAUGAUUACAUCCUUUAAUUUAUUGAAUAAUUAUAAACAAUCUUGGUUUCAAGAGAAUUAUAUUUACGCAACGAUCAUUUGCAGAUGUUCAAAAUAUUUCUACCCUCAAUUAUACUUACAGAAAAACAUUUGUUGCACUUAUCUCUUCCAAACCAUAAUAGUUUUUAGGAAAAGAAAAAAGAGACAUGUUUAUGAAAGAAAAUUAGGCUACGAUGCUCAUUGUCGUGGAUAUGGAGCGCGUGACAACGGGUAUGGGAGGUGGAGGAGUUAGGGGUGGCUAUGGUGGUGGUAGCAAAUUGAAGAGAUGGUUAUGGUAAAUAGAGAGGUGUUCAUGGAGGAGAAUAUGAUAAUGGCAAAGGAAAUGGAGAAGAAGGAGGUUGUGAGGGUGGAUAUGCACUCAAAAUUAAUUCCAUCUGAUCAAAAGAGAAUUGAGAAACUUUUUUUUUUUUUUUGUAAGUAAUGAACCCAAUAUUCAUAUUAAUUGCACAACAAAAAAUAAAGAAAUUGGGUAAGAGAGAACGUUGUUUUCUAAAUCUUAUGGGUGGAAGGUUUGCAUGUUCGUGAAUGUAAAUAUCAAAUCAAUUUUUUAAUGAUAAGCAAAUUUGGAGUAAGUGUGCAUUUAUACUGUGACAAAUUGAAUCAACCACAUAUACGUUAUUUUGUUUUUCCAAUGAUAUUUAUUAUAUAAGAGGAUUUUAUCUCAAAAUCAAUCAACAAAUACGUGAAUAGUAAUACGUCAAUUUUAUAAACAAUAAUGAUGAUCUCUUGAAUUUUUCAUGUGAAAUUAUCAACAUUCUCCAUGUAUUGUUCUCGGUUAUUAUUUUUGUAACCAAAGUGUAAUCCUCCAAAAAAAUACAAAAUUGACAACCAAGAAAAUAACUAAAUUUUCAUUUAAAAAGAAAAAAGAGAAUAGCAUAUCAAAUAUCAAAUAGCCAUGCAAAAUAAGCUUAACUAGGGGAGAGGGAGUCUAUAAGUCAAAUUGCAUAGUCUAAACCAAGGCUAACAAAUGAAUGAUGAUCCUACGAUAAAAUAUCUUAAGUAGAUUGAUACAUAUGAUAUGUAGCAUCUUCACCGCAUCUAAGAACAAGAGUCGAUGUGUUAUCACAAAAAUAAAAUACAAAAGGGAAGUUUGGGAGAAAAUUAGAGUUAUAAUAAUGUUGAGAGAGAUCCAAUUAAUUAAUACUCUUAAAAUUUUAAGAGAUAAAUUUUUAUAUUUGAGAAUUUAAAUGUGUAAUUGCGACUAAUUAACCAAUCGUGUUGAUUUUUGCAAUUUACCUUUUUUUAUUAAAUUUUCAAGAAAAAAAUAUUUAAUGACGAUCAAAAUGAUCCAUGACGUACAUACAAUUAUUGUCAAACAUUCCAUGUUACUAAAAGAAAAUUGAAACUUUCUCCAACGUUAUAAAUAUUUUAUCCACUUUACUAUUUUUUUUAUUAUUUCCCUAAUUUUGAUUCAAUCAAUUUUCUAGCUAUCAACUACCAUUCUUUAAAAAAAAAUCAAAUAUACAAAAAUAAAAAAUUGUCAAUUUUCGUCCAAAAAAAUUUUAAAAUAAAAUUUGGAAUUUGGAAUAUGGUACCUUUUGGAAUAAGUUUUAAAGCCUUUGAUUAAAAAAAAAAAGUUGCUUCAACCAAAAUCAUUGUAAAUAAUGUUGAAAUUAUAAAAUUAUUAAAAAUAUUUAUAAAUAUAGACAAACUAAAAUUUUAGAAUCUACCGUUGAUGUAACUAAUAAACGUAUAUCAGCGUCUACCGAAUAUAUUCUAAAAAACGGUAAUAUUUUAUAAAUAUUUUAGUAUGUUUACCCUUUCACAAACUUAAUUAAAAUUAUAAUCCAAAUCAAAACCUAUCCAAACAAAUAUUUGGUGUAACUUAAGGGAUGAAUCGCACUAAUAUGACUCAAACAUAUUUUGAGAAACGUGUUUAAAAUGUGAUAAAUUUUUCCACAAUAUUUUAUAGCAAAUGGCAAAUAAUUUAAAGUUUCUUUGAAGCAAGAAUUAGGCAAAGAAGCAUGUAUAUAUAUACAUAUAAUGUAAUUAAAAUUUAUAUUAUAGUGAUGCAAAAUCGUUUCAUAAGCCACUUCAUCUCUCUCUGUUUCAUGGCAUCUUAAGUACACAAAAAGAGAAAAAGGGAAAAAGAGACCUAAUAUAAUAUGUGUUCUUUAAUUGGUGGAUUUUUAUUUAGCAUUAUUAAUUCAUCAAUCACCAAGAAUAUUUAUUCUCAACAAAGUUAUUGAAUGAUAUUAAAUUUACAAGAACUAAAUGAUAUAUCAUUUCGUUUCAUAUUAAAUUUUUGUAAGUUUAGAUAAUUUAUGAAAGUAGGUUUGUUAUGUUUAGGUUAACUAAACACAUACAUGUUAAAUUGAAUAUGUGUUUUAUCUUGGUCAAUUGUGCAAAGUGGAUCCGUGGCGCAAUGGUAGCGCGUCUGACUCCAGAUCAGAAGGUUGCGUGUUCGAUUCACGUCGGGUUCAAUGUCCAUUUUUUAUUUUAGUCAUUUGUGAUCACAAAUAAAUUUAAACCUCAUAAUCAUUGCAUUUUAGGUUAUUGUGUAAAGUUAUAAAACAUUACAAAGUGGAACAAGUAUUGAUAUGAUUUCGUUCCAAUUAUAAUUUAUUUUUAUAGUUUAAUGAGACAUACGAAAAAGCCAACACUUUAGUAUUUUGCCUCUUGAACUUUACUUAAGUUAUAUAUAAAAAAUUAAUAAUGUUGUUGACCACAUGCCUCCUCUUUAAUUGCCACUAAGGUACUACACUAUAGAGAAGAGCUAAUGAGUCCUUGUUUUCUAUAUAAGGAGAUGGAUGAAUGCAUUCUAAGCAUACAUUCCUAUCCAUGGCUAUCUCUAGAGUGUUGUGCAUUGGCUUUCUUCUUUUUGUAGGUUUAGGGUUAGCUUCGGCUACCCGAACUCUUCUUGAUUAUGAUCCACGUGCACGUCGUUAUGAUUACGAUCAUCCUACUCCAAGAGUAGGGUACGAUCCAAGUCAUCGUGAUCAAUCAUAUGAUAAUGCAUACAGUGGAAGUUCUAGUAAAGGAUAUGGAAUUGGAGACUCUACUCUUGGAGGUUCUGGACGAUAUGGAGGUGGCAAAGGACAUGAUUCCGGAUAUGGAGGUCGAAAUGAUGAUCGCAGUACUGGAUAUGGAGGUCGAAAUGAUGACCGCAGUGAUGGAUAUGGAGGUCGAAAUGAUGACCGCGGUGCUGGAUACGGAGGUCGAAAUGAUGAUCGCGGUGUUGGAUAUGGAGGUCGAAAUGAUGAUCGCGGUGUUGGAUAUGGAGGUCGAAAUGAUGAUCGUGGAGUUGGAUAUGGUAAUGGUGGUAGAUAUGGAAGUGUAGGAGGACAUGGUGAUGGUUAUGGUAACAAUGGUGGUGGAAGCUAUGGAGAUCGUUAUGGCCCUUCUCUUGGAGGUUCAGGAAAAGGAAGUAACAAUGGCUAUAACGAUCAUUCUCGUGGAAAUGGAGGACGUGACAGUGGCUAUGGAGAUUCACAUGGACAUGAAGGACGUGAGAGUGGAAAUGGAAGCGGUGGAGGAGUUAGUGGUGGCUAUGGUAAUGGAGGAGUACAUGGAGGAGAGUAUGAUAAUAGCAAAGGAAGUGGAGAAGAAGGGGGUAAUGAUGGUGGAUAUGCUGUCAAAAAUUCUAUCUCAAAGGAGAAUUGAGAAUUCCUCUUUUUCAAGUAAUGAACCCAAUAUCAUAUUAUGUUAACGAGAAAUAAAGAAAUUGGGUGAGAGAAUGUUGUGUUUUAAAUUUAUGUUGAAUUUUCUUUGAAUAAUUCGAAUCAAUAGGUACAAUGAUAAUCAAAUUUGGAUUAUGUUUGUUGUGACAAAUUGACUGUACCCUAUUUUGUUAUAUUUCUCUAUAGAUUUUUUUAUAUAUAUCCAUAUUAAUACGGGUGAUUUUGAACUGAAUCAAAUGACAUAAACAAAGAGAAAAAAAUAUUGUCUAAAAGUUUAUUUGUUAACACCUUAUAAUUCUUAGUAACUUUUUCAAUGAAUGUGUGAUAUUAUAAAAAUAAGUUGUUUCAUGGGAUUCCAAGGAUGGACAAAAGAUGCAUAAAAUACUCUAACUAAUAAAAUGUACACCAUUCCAAACGUGCUAUAUUUUAUGAUUUUCAAAGUUAAACUUUGAAACAAUCUUUUAACACCUUCUAAACACAAAUUAUUUAUCAUACAUGGUGGGCUAAUCAAGUCCAAACUAAUUAAUAGGUCAAACCCAUCAUUCCAAUUGUCUGCUACACGUAACUUAUAAAAAUUUUCAAGAUUUAGUUUGAAUAUUUUAAAUUCAAUGUUUCAAGUUUUUUUAACAAAAUUGAAAAAACUUCACCAUUUUCUUGAGAUUUUCUUAUUAUGAUUACAUCCUUUAAUUUGUUGAAUAAUUAUGUACGAUCUUGUUGCAAGAGAAUAAUAUAUAUAUAUUAUUAUAUUAUAUAUAUACAUACAUUCAUUCAUUUAGGUUUAUGUGGUUCAAAAUCUUUCUACCCUCAAUUAUACUUAAAAAGCAUUGGUUGCACUCUUCUCUUCCAAACCAUGAUAGUUUUUAGGAAAAAAAAGAAACAUGUUGAUGAAAGAGAAUUAGACUACGAUGAUCAUUCUCGUGGAUAUGAAGCGCGUGACAACGGAUAUGGGAGUGGUGGAGGAGUUGGUGGUGGCAGCGAAAAAGGUGGUUAUGGUAAUAGAGAGGUGUUCAUAAAGGAGAAUAUGAUAAUCGGAAAGGAAAUGGGGAAGAAGGAGGUUCUAAUGGUAGAUAUGCACUCAAAAUUAAUUUCAUCUAAUCAAAAGAGAAUUGGAAACUUUUUUUUAAGCAAUGAACCCAAUAUUCAUAUUAAUUGGGCAACAAAAAUAAAGAAAUUGGGUAAGAGACAACGUUGUUUUAUAAAUCUUAUAUGUCAUUAGUUUACUUUUUGGUGAAAGUAAAUAAUUUGGAUUAAGUAUGCAUUUGUAUUAGAACAAAUUGAAUCCAACCAUAUACACAUUAUUUUACUUUUUUAAUAAUAUUUUUUAUUAAAUUAGAUGGUUUUAUUUUAAAAUUAAUUGAUAAUUACGUGAAUAGUAAUAUGUAUAUCUUAUAAACAAUAAUGUUGAUCUCUUCAAUUUUUUAUAUGCAGAAUUAUCAACAUUCUCCACCUAAUGUUCUAGGUUAUUUUUGUAAUCAAAGUGUAACUCUCAGACAAAAACAAAAACGAAAAAACCAAGAAAAUAACUAAAUUUUCAUUUAAAAAGAGAAAAAAGAAUAGCAUAUCAAACAUCCAUCCAAAAUAAGCAUAAUUAAGGGAGAGGGGGCCUAUACGUCAAUUGCUUAGUCUAAACCAAGACUAACAAAUGCCUUGUCCUAUGAUAAAAUAUUUAUAUUUCAAAGAUACAUAUAUUUUCACUACAUCCAAGAUCAAGAGCCAUUGUAUUAUAACAAAAGAUUGUACAAAAGGGGAGUUGGGGAGAAACUUAGAGUCAUAAUGUUCAAAGAGAUCUAAUUAAUACUUGUAAAAUUUUAAGAGCUAAAAUUUUGUAACAGAGAUUGAGAGUGUAAUCGCAACAAAUAAUCAUACUUCAAUGGUUGAUUAAUUUAUCAAGAAAAGUUUUAAAAAAACAUUUAAUGACAGUCAACAUCAACCCUUUCACGUCAUUAAAAGAAAAUUGGAACUUUGCCCACAUUUCUUUAUUAUUUUGCUAUUAAAAAUUAAUUUUGAUUCAAUCAAUUUUUUAGUUAUCAACUACUAUUCUUAAAAAAAUAUAUAUAUAUACAAAAAUUACGAAAAAGAAAUAUUACUUCUCAAACAAGAAUCAUCUUAAAUAAUCAUCCUAUCCAUUUUAAAAAAUAUAUAUAUUUUCAAUAAAUUAAAUAAUAAAAUUAUUGAAAAUAUUUAUAAAUAUAACUAAAAUAAAACUCUAAAAUCGAUGGAGGAUGUAACUUAUGAAAGUCUAUUAGCAUCUAUCAUUAACAUAUUCUAAAAUAUUUUUGUAAAUAUAUUUUGUUUCAUUUUGCUAUACUUAAAAAUAACCUUCCACAAAUUUAAAACUCAAAUUAAUCAAAACCAAUCCCAACAAAUAUUUUGUAUAAUUUAUGCGAUGUGCAUAAAUACGCAUUUUCCCACCAUAUUUGAUAGCAAAUGGCAAAUUAUUUAAUGUUUGUUUGAAGCAAGAAUUAGGCAAAGAAGCAUAUAUCUAUAUAAUAUGUAACUAGAUCUUAUAUUAUAGUGAUGCAAAAUCGUUUCAUAAGGCACUUCAUAUCUCUCUGUCUCAUGGCAUCUUAAGUACACAAAAUGAGAAAAAGGGAAAAAGGGCCCUAAUAUAAUAUGUGUCCUUUAAUUGGUGGAAUUUUAUUUAGCAUUAUUAAUUAAUCAACCGUGUAAAAUAUGGUAGGAAGAAUUAUUCUAAUGAUGAAUGAAAAUUUUAGGUUGGGAGGUCCCAUAUAUGAAGCAUAUGAGAAAUUUUCAAUCUUAAAAGAGUGAAUUAUCAAAUUAAAUUUACAUGAACGAAAUGAUAUAUCAUUUGGUUUGUAUUAAGUUUGUUUAAGUUUAGAUGAUUUACGAAAAUAGGUUUGUUAUGUUUAGGUUGACAAAACGACACUGUAUUUAGAUGAUGGUGUAAAUUUUAACAUGUUAAACAUGUGUUUUAUCUUGGUUUAUUGUGAUCUAAUACAAAUAAAUAUCGUUAUUGAAUUUUAGGUUAUCGUGUAAAGUUGUAAAAUAUUACAAAGUGGUGCAAGUGGGAAAAUGGGAUCAAAAGGAGAGUAUUGAUAUGAUUUCGUUCCAAUUAUAACUUAUUUUUUUAGUUUAAUGAGACAUAGGAAAAAGCCUACACUUUAGUGUUUUGCCUCUUGAACUUCCUUUGAGCUAUAUAUCCAAAAUUAAUAAUGAUUUUUUAGCACGUGUCUCCUCUUUAAUGGCCUCUAAGGUACCACACUAUAGAGAAGAGCUAAUGAAUCCUUGUUUUCUAUAUAAGGAGAUGGAUCCAUGCAUUCUAAGCAUACAUUCCUAUCCAUGGCUAUUCCUAAAGUGUUGUGCAUUGGCUUUCUUCUUUUUGUGGGUUUAGGGUUAGCUUCGGCUGCCCGAACUCUUCUUGAUUAUGAUCCACGUACACGUCGCUAUGAUUACGAUCAUCCUACUCCAAGAGUAGGGUACGACCCAAGUCAUCGUGAUCAAUCCUAUGAUAGUGCAUACAGUGGAAGUUCUAGUAAAGGAUAUGGAGUUGGAGACUCUGCUCUUGGAGGUUCUGGACGAUAUGAAGGUGGUGGAGGACGUGAUUCCGGAUAUGGAGGUCGAAAUGAUGAUCAUGGUGUGGGAUAUGAAGGUCGAAAUGAUGGUCGUGGUGCUGGAUACGGAAGUCGAAAUGAUGAUCGCAGUGCUGGAUAUGGAGGUCGAAAUGAUGAUCGUGGUGCUGGAUAUGGAGGUCGAAAUGAUGAUCGUGGUGCUGGAUAUGGAGGUCGAAAUGAUGAUCACGGUGCUGGAUAUGGAAGUCGAAAUGAUGAUCAUGGUGCUGGAUAUGGAGGUCGAAAUGAUGAUCGUGGGGUUGGAUAUGGUAAUGGUGGUGGAUAUGGAAGUGUAGGAGGACAUGGUGAUGGUUAUGGUAACAAUGGUGGUGGAAGCUAUGGAGAUCGUUAUGGCCCUUCUCUUGGAGGUUCGGGAUAUGGAAGUGGAGGAAAAGGAAGUGGCAAUGGCUAUGAUGAUCAUUCUCGUGGAAAUGGAGCACGUGACAAUAACUAUGGAGAUUCUCACGGACAUGAAGGACGUGACAGUGGAUAUGGAAGUGGUGGAGGAGUUAGCGGAGGCUAUGGCAAUGGAGGAGUUCAUGGAGGGGAGCAUGAUAAUAGCAAAGGAAGUGGAGAAGAAGGGGGUAGUGAUGGUGGAUAUGCUUUCAAAAAUUCCAUCUCAAACAAGAAUUGAGAACUCUCUUUUAAGCAAUGAACCCAAUAUCAUAUUAUGUUAAAGAAAAAUAAGGAAAUUGGGUAAGAAUGAAUAAUGUUGUGUUCUAAAUGUAUGUUGAAUUUACUUCAAAUGAAUGCUAAAUUUGAAUCAAUGAAUUAUGUUUGGAUUAUGUUUGUUGUUACAAAUUGAUUCCACCUUUCUUUUUGUUUUGUUUCUCUAUACAUUUUUCUAUAUAUCCAUAUUAAUAUGGAUUGAUUUUGGACCGAAUCGAAUGACAUAAUAAUCUAUGCCAAAUAAGAGUAAAACCACAUAGCCAAGAAAAUGAUAAGAGUAAAAGGAAAAAUAGUAUGUACAAUGUAAGACAAAUAAUUGUGUCUAGGAGAAGAGGGUGUUACUCAAGCCAAUGCAUUUAACCUCGACAAGACUCAACCUCAAGUUGAGCCUAACAAAAUGUCUAGUUGGGCAUACCCUUGUCAAAAUGCAUCACUUUAAUUAAGACUAAAAUAAACAUAUAGAGAAGGGAGUUUGAGCUUGAUAGGUCGAGACCAAUCCUAGCAGAAUAUUAAACAGAACUUGCCCUUCACAUGCCUCAACCUAAGUGAGUUGAAAAGGUUAUCGUAUCGUACCUCCAAAACUCUAUUCGGACAUAACCUAACUAAUUAACUAGGUUUAUUUAAUUCUACAAAUAAAUCAUUAGAGCUCUACAGAAACAAACUCUAUUCUCACUCAAUUUCUUUGACAUUUUUCAACUCUCUCUAAAAGCCAAAUAGGCACAACCCUAAAUCCUUACAUCUUCAAACCCUGUGUUUUAAUUACUAUGGAUAAAAGAGAACACAAAUCAAAUUUUACUUUCUUAUAUUUAGAUCAUAUUUCUUUUGAAAUUCAAAGUAAUGGAUAACACAAUAUGCUUCCAUUUCUAAUUUAAAUGAAAAUUUCAACAUUCCUAAUUACUGAUUUAUUUACACAAAAUAGCCCAAAGUAAAUAACUAUAAGUGAGUUUUCUUUACUAUUAUUUUGGUGAGUGAAGAUACUAUGAGUUUUUAUAUCACUAAAAUGUGAUAAUUUUUCCAACCAUUAUUGUAUUAGCAAAUGGGAAAUAAAUUAUUUAAUAAUGUAUCUAUAAAGUGGGAAGAAUUAGGGAAACAAAAUGCAUAAUUAAAUAUGUAAAAAAACUAUAGUAAUGCUAUGUCGUUUCAGAAACCAUUUGAAGAGUUAAGGAAAAAAGAGGGGAAAAAAAGCUCUAAUAUAAUAUAUGCUCUUUAGUCCUUUUUCUUAAAAAAAAAUUAAUGCUCUUUAAUUAGUUUGAAAUAGCCAUAUAAAUUAAAUAUCUUCCUAAAAGGAAAGAUGGGUUCUCAAGAAAAAAUAUAUUUCAAUGCUUCUUUUUCUUUUUCUUUUUCUUAAUCCUUGUUGAUGAAGAGAAUUCAGGCUUAAAAAUGGAGAAUUUCAUAUUUUCUAAUAUUUUACACUUUUUUCAACCUCAUAAACAAAUUUUGAUUAAAUGGUUGUAGUAAAGAUACUUUUCUUUUUUUUUCACCAAAAACAGCUUUAUUUUAUUUUAAUCUUCUGUCAUAUUUGUAUCGAGAAAAUUAAAUAAAUACUAUUUUUUUUCAAUAUAUUUAAUUUCGUUUUAAAAUAAAGGGAAAAUCCCUAGAAAUCAUCACUUUUCUCUUCUUCUUUGAAGACCCUCUUCUUUUAUGGUAUAACUUUCAUUAGUUGUUCUUAAUAUGCUUCUUUUAACUUUAACUGUCAAAUAUAUAUAUACACAUACAACGAUAAUUUAUCCUUAAUAUCAGAUAUAAAGUUUUUUUUAUGCAUGGCUCUAAUCCAAAAGACUUCAAAAAAAAAAUUACCAAAAUGUAAAUCGAUGAUGAGAAAUUAAAAAAUUGAUAUGGCUAAUGUUUAAUAAGCUAGAUUGAUUGAUAAGUUACUCAUCCCACAAUUACUUGAUUUUGAGAUGAAACGUCAAGUUAUCUAAUAUUAUAUCGUAACUCGCGAAAACAUAAACGAACAUUCAGAUCAAAAAAAUAAAUAUUGGAGUCCAAUUCAAGAAUGAUGAACCCAAAGAGAGACAUCAUUUAUCAAUGGUGUGUAUACUAGCCAAGGAUCUUAUCAUGCUAGAAUAAUUGAGGGACCUUUUAUGUUUAUAUAUAAGAUGUAUAUGUUUCUUCUCUUAUAUUUUAUAUUGGUUUUAAGAUGUAAAGCUCAUGUUAUCUAAUAUAUGAUGUCGGUUGUUCGAAAAUUCGAUGUAAAAAUAGUAAAUAAUCGAAAGAAGCACGGAUCCCAAAAGGACAUAUCAAGGAAACCUCACACCAUGCAUCUUUAUAAGUCCCUCACACCAUGCAUUCAAAAACUAUAAUUGAGGGACCUCACACCAUGUCAUGCAUCUUUAUAACGUCAAUCAUACAUAUCUAUUAUUAAUUUCCUCUCAUAUGGCUCAUGAUAUACUACGUGUAACAAUUUUUCAUUGCCAAGAAAUUUCCAAAUUGUAAUAGUGGUAAGUUAUGAAAUGAUUUUCUUACAAAUAUCUUCAUAGAUAAAUUAAUAAUAAAACAUCAUGUGUGAACGGCAGAAUCCAAUUGACUGAAAAAUCAUUUUGGAGUAAUAUUAUCGGUUGUGAGCACAAUCCUUUGAUCUAUUUGGUGGGAAAGAAACAGUAGAACCUUUACUUGAGAAGCUAUAAUUCUUACAUUUUUAUUAAUUAUCAUAUUACUUCGUCUUUAUUUUAAAAAUAUUCAUACAAGACAUGAGAGAUUAGCAUAGGCAUUCAAAUAUCAAUACCUUUGAACAAAAAAGCUUUUCCUUGGCCCUAAAAAAGUUGUACAACAAUUAACAAAACACUCCAAUAUUAAGGUUAAUAGGAAGAAUGCCUAAACUUAACUAUAAAAAUUGUUUGGAACUACAAAACUAAGCAAACUAAGGUGGCUAAACUCAACAUGAAAAUAAAGAAGAGUAAUUUAAACUUAGAUAUUUAUUCAUGUCACCUAAACUUUUAAAGUCGUUUUUGAUUGCAUGCUCCUCUAAACUUUAUCAAAUCUUGCGAGAUCAUGUAAGGGGAAAGAUGGAAUCAACUUAGCCUUACUUUAAUUUAAUAUGUUUUAGUACCACAUGUCAACAUAAAAUAAAGAAAUUAGGUUAGAGAGAAGGUUGUGAUCUAAAUCUAAGUACAUUAAUUAAUGUCAAAUUUCAAUCCAUGUUUGAAUGAUAAACAAAUUUGGAGUAAAGAAUAUUACUCAACCAUACAUAAGUAAGACUUCAACUCUAAUUGAAAGGGGCUGACAAGUAUAGUUACUCCUAAACUGUCUACAAAUAUUAAAUAUUAUAUGAAGACAAUAAAGUUAAGGGGAGUUCGAGUCCCCUAGACCUAUACUAAAUCCGUCGGUCAUGGUGAUGGUGCACAACACUCAAUUGUUCAACACAACUAUGAUGAAUUUUUUUGUUUGUUGGGAGAGAAAACACUAAUAUGUUUUAUUUCAUUAAAAUGUGAUAUUUUUGUCCCAUGAUUAUUGUAUAGAGAAAUGGGAAAUUAUAUAUAUAGUGUAAGCUUCAAGUGGGAAUUAGGAAACACAUGCAUAAAUAUAAAGUUACGAUAAUUAUAGUAAUGCAAUGUCGUUUCAGAAGCCCAUUAUUCAUCCUCUCAAUUAUCUCAUGCAUGGUGGCUCUCAUCAAGUUGAGAAAAAGGAAAAAAAAUAGGCCUAAUAAAAUAUAUGUUCUUUGUUUCUUGGUAACCAUUGUAAAUUAAUCGUAAUAUAAAUAUCUUCUAAAAGAGAAAAAAAGAAGACUCUCAAGACAAAUUAUCAUGCUUCGUCAAUCCUCUUUUUUUUUUUUUUUUUUUUCCUCAAUCUUUAAUGAUAGAAGAAAAUUUUAGCUCAAUAAAAUUGAAAUUUUUGUAUUUUAAAAAAUUUAUGAUGUUUUUUAACACGUGUAUAUAUAUAUAAUGAACAAUAUAACAAAAUAUCACAUUAAGUUUUACUAUAUAUUUAUAAAUAUUUUUUUAAUUAAUUUUUUCACUUAAUUUAAAAAUAUUUUUUCUAUAUAAAUAUUAUUAAUAAAGAACAAUUACAUUAGCUUCUCUUUUUACGUAUAACUCUUACUUUGGAUUGAACUUUUAACUCUUGAAAAGAGCAUUAGUGAGCCAAUUAAUUCACUUUGACUACAUAACUUUCUUUAGUUGCUUAAUAUAUUUGUUUUGGUGUUAAACUAUCAUUAUAACAGAACAAUUAGGAUAGUUUUCAUUUUCGUGUAUAACGUUUUUCUAUGGUCGAUAUCUAAGGAAAUAAUCAAAAAAACAAAUGUACUUACAAUAAAUUUCAUUGUGUCAUAAAAUGAAAUUUCCAAAUUAUGUAAGUGUUAAGUUGUAAAAGUUGAUAAUCAAAUUUCAAUGUGAAAUUAUAUAUUUUGGAAAUAUCUGCACCAUAGACAAAAAUUAAUAAACAAACUUCUCAAAAUUAAGUGUGUUAAUUAUAAGAGAAUGCCUAAACUUAACUAUAAAAAAAUAAGUUGGAGCCAAAACUAAUUAGCUAAAAUAUUAAGGUGAAUUUAUCACAAAAAGUACAAACAAGUGAAGUAAGGUGGUGUUGCAUAAAGCCUACUGAUUUUCAACUUUGGCUUUCUAAAUUUGAGCUCCUCACGUUUUCACACAAAAGCUUCUCACAACCUUUGAAUAAGAUCCUCUCAAAAGAACAUCAACUACUGAUGUAUUAAACUAAUAAAGAGCCAGCCUAGUUUACUUGACUACUAGUAACAUCCUCAACAGUGACGUACAUUUAAUUUCACAAACAGUGCGUAAGGAUUAAGGUUAAACAAUCUCUCAAAACAUGCACACACAGUAUUUUUAACAGAGCUAAUUAACCCUAAAAAUAAACAAAACUCAUAAUAUAUAUGGAAGCUGAUCUUGAGCAGAUAGGAAAAAAGAUUAUCAAAAAGAAUAGAAAAACAAAUUAAAUCAGCAGGUUUAAUUUUCCCUACACGGUUCAAUAGAUUAAGAAAAAAAUCUUGAUACAAAAUUCGAAGGAGAAAUAUAGAUUUUGACAGAAAAUGUUACAAAACAAGUUGCUCAAGUUUUGCUUGUAACAAAAUCCGCCAAUCGUAGUACAGUAACACAUAAGCAACUAAAAUGACUGAUCUCAACAAGAAUGGAAACACUAGAUAUGUUACAAGAGAACAUGCAUAAAUACAGUUUGGUCUAAUUAAAAAAACAGUGUCUUAGAUAACACAAGAAGGUAGAAAAAUAGAUGAGAGAGUAAUCAAACUUAGCUGACAAAUAUGGAUAUUAAUGAAUUUCACCUGAACUUUAUAUAGUUUUUCUUUACUCUUCUCUAAAUCUUACCAAAUAUUGCAAGAUCGUGUAAGUGGACAAUGGAAUAAUCGUAAUAAUCAAUUGAAGCCUUACAUAAAAUAUCGAUGUGUUUUAGUACCAAAAUCGAACUUUAGUUAGUACCUAAUAUGACAAAAGGCCUCACUACGUAGUAUUUUGCCUCAUGGACAUCCAUGGAGAAGUUGAUGAACCCACCACUUUUUUUAAACAUAUGACACCCUCUUUACCGUGAAGGACACCAUAGAGAAGUUGAAGAGACCCUCCACCCAUUUCCUAUAUAAAGAGAUCAAUGCAUGCAUUUUCUUGGCAUUCUACUCAUUCUCUAAUUCUCUCCAUGGCUAUCCUUAGAGCACUGUGCCUUGCCUUUCUUCUCUUUGUACGGUUAGGUUUAGCUUCGGCUACUAGAACUCUUCUUGAUUAUGAUCCACGUACACUUCAAUAUGGCUAUGAUCGUCCUAGUCCAAGAGUAGGGUAUGAUCCUGGCCAUGGGGAUGAAUCCUAUGAUAAGGCAUACGGUGGAAGCUCUAGUAGAGGACAUGGAAUUGGAGACUCUGCUCUUGGAGGUUCUGGAUACGAAGGUGGUGGAAGACACGAUUAUGGAUAUGGAGAUCGACAUAAUGAUCGUGGGGUUGGAUAUGGUAAUUAUGGUGGUGGAUAUGGAGGUGUAGGAGGACAUGGUGAUGGUUAUGGUAACAAUGGUGGUGGAAGCUAUGGAGAUCGUUAUGGACCUUCUCUUGGAGGUUCAGGAUAUGGAAGUGGAGGAAAAGGAAGUGGCAAUGGCUAUGACGAUCAUUCUCGUGGAAAUGGUGCACGUGACAAUAGCUAUGGAGAUUCUCAUGGACAUGGAGGACGUGACAGUGGAUAUGGGAGUGGUGGAGGAGUUACUGGUGGCUAUGGUAAUGGAGGAGUGCAUGGAGGAGAGUAUGAUAAUAGCAAAGGAAGUGGAGAAGAAGGAGGUUAUGAUGGUGGAUAUGCUGUUAAGAACUCCAUCUCAAAGGGAAAUUGAGAAACCCUUGGCUUCUUUUUCUUAUUAUACUAUGCCAGCUAAAAUAAAAAUAUGGGGUAAGGGAUCAAGAAUAUUGUUAUCUAAAUCUAUGUUUGAGUUGCU